This 85-nucleotide transfer RNA is filed under the name Felis catus (domestic cat). It matches the Rfam family "tRNA". Rfam says of the family: Transfer RNA (tRNA) molecules are approximately 80 nucleotides in length. Their secondary structure includes four short double-helical elements and three loops (D, anti-codon, and T loops). Lineage: Eukaryota; Metazoa; Chordata; Mammalia; Carnivora; Felidae. The record is from Rfam by way of RNAcentral.
GCCUAGGUGGCUCAGUCGCUUAAGCAUCUGACUUCGGCUCAGAUCAUGAUCCUGCAGUUUGUGAGUUCAAGCCCUACCUUACGCU